AUGAUUAUCGUUGGCGGAAGUGGAUGCAGAGUUGACGGAGGAGUUGUUGGGGCGGUAGUCGCGCUCGUAGCGAUCGCGGCAAUCCAUCGCCUCAUGCCCCCAGUUCGUGCAGAUUUGGCAACGGGGGCGCCAACGUCCAUUCACUCCUCCAUUGCGGCCAUUGCCUCCGCCACCGCCUUCGUUGUGGCCAUUGCCGCCGCCAGUGCGACGUCGAUCCUGGCCGCCCUGCCCCUGGUUUUGCAGGGCGUUACCCCCAGUGGGACGACCACCACUUGGGUGAACGGAGUCCUGCACACGGCCAGGGUUGUUGUUGUAAUAGGGGAGCUAACCAGGUAG
This 336-nucleotide ribosomal RNA is filed under the name Triticum aestivum (bread wheat). Its description in RNAcentral is "partial small subunit ribosomal RNA". Lineage: Eukaryota; Viridiplantae; Streptophyta; Magnoliopsida; Poales; Poaceae. The record is from RNAcentral.